Molecule: ribosomal RNA, 877 nt
Filed under: uncultured archaeon
Lineage: Archaea
Description: bacterial SSU rRNA
Rfam family: Archaeal small subunit ribosomal RNA
Source: RNAcentral
CUGGUUGAUCCUGCCAGAGGUUACUGCUAUCGAGAUUCGACUAAGCCAUGCGAGUCGAAUGUUCUUCGUGAACAUGGCGAACUGCUCAGUAACACGUGGACAACCUACCCUUGGGUUCGGCAUAAUCCUGGGAAACUGGGGAUAAUACCGGAUAGGUCACAGCUGCUGGAAUGCACUGUGGCUCAAAGCUCCGGCGCCCAAGGAUGGGUCUGCGGCCUAUCAGGGUUGUAGUGGGUGUAAUGUACCUACUAGCCUACGACGGGUACGGGUUGUGAGAGCAAGAGCCCGGAGAUGGAUUCUGAGACACGAAUCCAGGCCCUACGGGGUGCAGCAGGCGCGAAAACUUUACAAUGCGGGAAACCGUGAUAAGGGAAUCUCGAGUGCCAGCAUAUAAUGUUGGCUGUCCAGAUGCCUAAAAAGCAUCUGUUAGCAAGGGCCGGGCAAGACCGGUGCCAGCCGCCGCGGUAACACCGGCGGCCCGAGUGGUAACCGCUAUUAUUGGGUCUAAAGGGUCUGUAGCCGGCCAGGUAAGUCCCUUGGGAAAUCUGGCCGCUCAACUGUCAGGCUGCUAGGGGAUACUGUUUGGCUUGGGACCGGGAGAGGUGAGAGGUACCUUGGGGGUAGGGGUGAAAUCUUGUGAUCCUCGGGGGACCACCAGUGGCGAAGGCGUCUCACCAGAACGGGUCCGACGGUAAGGGACGAAAGCUAGGGGCACGAACCGGAUUAGAUACCCGGGUAGUCCUAGCCGUAAACGAUGCUCGCUAGGUGUCAGUCACGGUGCGACCGUGAUUGGUGCCGUAGGGAAGCCGUGAAGCGAGCCACCUGGGAAGUAUGGCCGCAAGGCUGAAACUUAAAGGAAUUGGCGGGGGAGCACUAC